UACGAAGGGAGCUAGCGUUGUUCGGAAUUACUGGGCGUAAAGCGCACGUAGGCGGACUUUUAAGUCAGGGGUGAAAUCCCAAGGCUCAACCUUGGAACUGCCUUUGAUACUGGAAGUCUUGAGACCGAGAGAGGUGAGUGGAAUUCCUAGUGUAGAGGUGAAAUUCGUAGAUAUUAGGAAGAACACCAGUGGCGAAGGCGGCUCACUGGCUCGGUACUGACGCUGAGGUGAGAAAGCGUGGGGAGCAAACAGG
RNAcentral lists this ribosomal RNA (253 nucleotides) under uncultured bacterium. Its description in RNAcentral is "partial 16S ribosomal RNA". It matches the Rfam family "Bacterial small subunit ribosomal RNA", at positions 524 to 776 of the family's 1533-position model. The record is from RNAcentral.